CCUACGGGAGGCAGCAGUGGGGAAUUUUGGACAAUGGGGGCAACCCUGAUCCAGCCAUUCCGCGUGAGUGAAGAAGGCCUUCGGGUUGUAAAGCUCUUUCGCAAGGGAAGAAAACUUAUGAUCGAAUAAAUCAUGAGGUUGACGGUACCUUGAUAAGAAGCACCGGCUAACUACGUGCCAGCAGCCGCGGUAAUACGUAGGGUGCGAGCGUUAAUCGGAAUUACUGGGCGUAAAGCGUGCGCAGGCGGUUUUGUAAGUCGGAUGUGAAAUCCCCGGGCUCAACCUGGGAACUGCGUUCGAAACUGCAAGGCUAGAGUGUGUCAGAGGGGGGUAGAAUUCCACGUGUAGCAGUGAAAUGCGUAGAGAUGUGGAGGAAUACCAAUGGCGAAGGCAGCCCCCUGGGAUAACACUGACGCUCAUGCACGAAAGCGUGGGGAGCAAACAGGAUUAGAUACCCUGGUAGUCCACGCCCUAAACGAUGUCAACUAGUUGUUGGUAGAGUAAAAUCUAUGAGUAACGUAGCUAACGCGUGAAGUUGACCGCCUGGGGAGUACGGUCGCAAGAUUAAACGUUCAAAGGAAUUGACGG
This 588-nucleotide ribosomal RNA is filed under the name uncultured bacterium. RNAcentral's name for it is "bacterial SSU rRNA". It matches the Rfam family "Bacterial small subunit ribosomal RNA", at positions 338 to 916 of the family's 1533-position model. The record is from RNAcentral.